CAGCAGCCGCGGGAAUACGUAGGGUGCAAGCGUUAAUCGGAAUUACUGGGCGUAAAGCGUGCGCAGGCGGUUUGUUAAGACAGAUGUGAAAUCCCCGGGCUCAACCUGGGAACUGCAUUUGUGACUGGCAAGCUAGAGUAUGGCAGAGGGGGGUGGAAUUCCACGUGUAGCAGUGAAAUGCGUAGAUAUGCGGAGGAACACCGAUGGCGAAGGCAAUCCCCUGGGCCUGUACUGACGCUCAUGCACGAAAGCGUGGGGAGCAAACAGGAUUAGAUACCCGUGUAGUCCCUGUCUCUUAUAC
This 301-nucleotide ribosomal RNA is filed under the name uncultured bacterium. RNAcentral's name for it is "partial 16S ribosomal RNA". It matches the Rfam family "Bacterial small subunit ribosomal RNA", at positions 509 to 807 of the family's 1533-position model. The record is from RNAcentral.